UACAGGAGGCAACAGUGGGGGUGGACAAUGGGGAAACCUGAUCCAGCCAUCCCGCGUGUGCGAUGAAGGCCUUCGGGUUAUAAAACACUUUUGGCAGGAAAGAAACGGCACGGGAUAUGCCCAUUUUGCCCAAUAAACACCUGCAGAAUAAGCACCGGCUAACUACGUGCCAGCCGCCGCGGUAAUACGUAGGGUGCAAGCGUUAAUCGGAAUUACUGGGCGUAAAGCGUGCGCAGGCGGUUCGGAAAGAAGAUGCCAAAUCUCUGAGCUUAACUGGAACUGCAUUUUAACUACGAGCUCAGUGUGUCAGAGGAGGUGGAAUUCCGCGUGUAGCAGUGAAAUGCGUAGAUAUGCGGAGGAACACCGAUAGCGAAAAACAACCUCCUGGGAUAACACUGACGCUGUAAAAGCGUGGGGCAAACGAGUUAGAUGCCCCCGUAG
This 441-nucleotide unclassified non-coding RNA is filed under the name uncultured Bordetella sp. RNAcentral describes it as "partial 16S-23S ribosomal RNA intergenic spacer". It matches the Rfam family "Bacterial small subunit ribosomal RNA", at positions 340 to 793 of the family's 1533-position model. Lineage: Bacteria; Pseudomonadati; Pseudomonadota; Betaproteobacteria; Burkholderiales; Alcaligenaceae. The record is from RNAcentral.